UGGGGAAUAUUGCACAAUUGGCGCAAGCCUGAUGCAGCCAUGCCGCGUGUGUGAAGAAGGCCUUCGGGUUGUAAAGCACUUUCAGCGGGGAGGAAGGCGGUGAGGUUAAUAACCUCAUCGAUUGACGUUACCCGCAGAAGAAGCACCGGCUAACUCCGUGCCAGCAGCCGCGGUAAUACGGAGGGUGCAAGCGUUAAUCGGAAUUACUGGGCGUAAAGCGCACGCAGGCGGUCUGUCAAGUCGGAUGUGAAAUCCCCGGGCUCAACCUGGGAACUGCAUUCGAAACUGGCAGGCUAGAGUCUUGUAGAGGGGGGUAGAAUUCCAGGUGUAGCGGUGAAAUGCGUAGAGAUCUGGAGGAAUACCGGUGGCGAAGGCGGCCCCCUGGACAAAGACUGACGCUCAGGUGCGAAAGCGUGGGGAGCAAACAGG
This 429-nucleotide ribosomal RNA is filed under the name Chloroflexota bacterium. RNAcentral's name for it is "Chloroflexi bacterium partial 16S ribosomal RNA". It matches the Rfam family "Bacterial small subunit ribosomal RNA", at positions 355 to 776 of the family's 1533-position model. The record is from RNAcentral. Lineage: Bacteria; Bacillati; Chloroflexota.